RNAcentral lists this long non-coding RNA (1317 nucleotides) under Oryctolagus cuniculus (rabbit). RNAcentral's name for it is "lncRNA (ENSOCUG00000033972.1)". Lineage: Eukaryota; Metazoa; Chordata; Mammalia; Lagomorpha; Leporidae. The record is from RNAcentral.
CUCCUUUAUUUCAGUUUCUCCUUUCUUGCUGUCAGGUGAUGUGCAUGGCUCUUCAUUCCAUUUUAAUUUAUCAGUUGUGAUGUAUACAGUAUCUGUUUCUGUAGAUUGUUAUCGACUGCCCUCAGAAUUGCAACACACACUUCACUUUUCAUAGGCUCCUAGCAAUUUUGCCUUAUCAGGGAGAAAUCUUGCCAUCAGGUAGGUUCUUUCUCUUCUCUUUUAUGUCAUAGUUUUCUUACAUAUUCCACAUAUCCCAAGAACCCACAUUAAAAAUUCAUCAGAUGCAUGUUAUAAUUUUUGGUUCAAUCAUUGAAUCCAUUUUGUUUUAAAAUAUUUAUUUAUUUUACUUGAAAGUCACAGUUACACAGAGGGAGAGAAGGAGAGGCACAGAGAGAGAGAGAGAGAGAGAGGUUUUCCAUCCUUCCAUCCCCUGGUUCACUCCCCGAGGGCUGCAAUGGCCAGAACUGCCCCAAUCUGAAGCCAGGAGCCAGGAGCUUCUUCCAGGUCUCCCAUGUGGGUGCAGGAGCCCAAGGACUUGGGUCAUCUUCUACUGCUUUUGCAGGUCAUAGUAUAGAGGUGGUUGGAAGUGGAGUUACCGGGUCUCAAACCGGUGCCCAUAUGGGAUGCUGACACUGCAGGAGGCAGCUUUACCUGCUAUGCCACAGCACCGGCCCCCAUUGAAUCCAUUUUUAAAACCUAUUGGGGCCGGCACUGUGGUGCAGUGGGUUAAGUCUGAGGUGUCACUAGUCAUGGUUAGGGGCCUGGAACUCUUCUUCUCCUGCAGUGGAAGGCUGUGUCUUUAACUGUCAGUGUGAUGACACCUGCCUUCCCAGAAUGCACCCGUCACAUCCGGGUCAUGGAUGCAUGCUUGCACCCUAACAGGAUUGUGGAGCCCCUCAGAGGGCGCACCAGCCGGAAGGAGCUCCACCUCCAGCGCGGAUGAAGGCUGCUGUUUUCUCUCUUCUCCACGGAGCGCUGCACGUGCGGAGCCACGGACCGCUUGUGCGUGCUUUUCCCUGUGCAGAGCCAUCCACCUUGGCACUUUCCCGCUCUCUUUAUCUCCGUCGCGUGCACGGACCACCUCAACCGUAGGCUGUGGACCUCCAGGGAUCCCAAGUGAAAAUCAGCGACGUUUACCAACGCCUCCUGAUGGCUGAUUCUCAGAACCGUAAGUUGGCCUCUUACUAAAAUGACCAAAACCUGCACUCCUCUUUCCCAUUCUUUCUUCCCCUCUACCUCUUAGUCUUUUUAACCUAAUGUUGUAGUAGGAAAACUGGCAUCUGGUCUGCUUGUGUUUUACUGUGACCUGCUGUUCUC